RNAcentral lists this ribosomal RNA (393 nucleotides) under uncultured bacterium. RNAcentral describes it as "bacterial SSU rRNA". It matches the Rfam family "Bacterial small subunit ribosomal RNA", at positions 39 to 458 of the family's 1533-position model. The record is from RNAcentral.
GCGGCAGGCCUCAAACAUGCAAGUCUAGGGGGUGUAGCAAUACAUCACCGGCGGACGGGUGCGUAACGCGUGGGAAUGUACCUAUUGGUUCGGAACAACUGAGGGAAACUUCAGCUAAUACCGAAUGUGCCCGAAAGGGGAAAGAUUUAUCGCCAAUGGAUCAGCCCGCGUUCGAUUAGCUAGUUGGUGAGGUUAUGGCUCACCAAGGCGACGAUCGAUAGCUGUUCUGAGAGGAAGAUCAGCCACACUGGGACUGAGACACGGCCCAGACUCCUACGGGAGGCAGCANUUGGGAAUCUUGGACAAUGGGGGAAACCCUGAUCCAGCCAUGCCGCGUGAGUGAUGAAGGCCUUCGGGUUGUAAAACUCUUUCGCGCACGACGAUAAUGACGGU